CUCAGUAGGCUUCCGCUCCGCCACCACGCCACCUCUGGCCGCCAGGGCUGGGGAGAACAGAAGCUAAACGGGGUUGGACUUGGCCAGCAUUUGGAUGGGAAACCCCCAAGGUCUGGAGACUGCUGAAA
This 128-nucleotide ribosomal RNA is filed under the name Chrysemys picta bellii (western painted turtle). The record is from RNAcentral. Lineage: Eukaryota; Metazoa; Chordata; Testudines; Emydidae.